This 442-nucleotide ribosomal RNA is filed under the name uncultured bacterium. Its description in RNAcentral is "partial 16S ribosomal RNA". It matches the Rfam family "Bacterial small subunit ribosomal RNA", at positions 338 to 795 of the family's 1533-position model. The record is from RNAcentral.
CCUACGGGUGGCUGCAGUGGGGAAUAUUGGGCAAUGGGCGCAAGCCUGACCCAGCAACGCCGCGUGAAGGAGGAAGGCUUUCGGGUUGUAAGCUUUUUUUAAGAGGGGAGAGCAGAAGACGAUACCUCUUGAAUAAGCCACGGCUAACAACGUGCCAGCAGCCGCGGUAAUGCGUAGGGGGCAAGCGUUGUCCGGGUUUAGUGGGUGAAAAGGGCGUGUAGGCGGUCUCACAAGGCAGAUGUGAAAUUCCGGGGCUCAACCCCGGACCUGCAUUUGACACUGGCGGUCUUGAGUACCGUAGAGGCAGGCGGAAGUCCUGGUGUAGCGGUGAAAUGCGUAGAUAUUAGGAGGAACACCAGUGGCGAAGGCGGCCUGCUGGGCCACAACUGACGGUGAGGCGCGAAAGCGUGGGGAGCAAACAGGAUUAGAUACCCUUGUAGUC